AUCAUUCAAUAUAUUGUCGAAAGUUCAAGAUGCAGUCAUCACAAAAUGUCAUAAAAUCAGGUACAUAAUUUUCAGGCAGUAUUCUCAAUAAACCUAUCAGAAUGACCAUCGAUGUACCCACUCGCCUACUGAUAUUUAUAAACUCCGUACAAAUGGUAUUUAUAUUAAUGUUGUUGCUACCAGUUGUUGACAUUGUACAACUAUCUAAAAUAUUGGACACAUACAAAGAAAUUGUCUUAUCAAACUCAAUAUUCUGGGUAUUCGCGGCUAUUUACGGAUCGUUUAUUACUUUCUACGGAUUAAUAGGACCUACGAGAACUAUAAAUCAUAUGAAUUAUGUAAAAUCUACUGCAAAACUACAUGAGCUCUCCGAUCUAAUGAGUGACUAUGAUUUAGUGGAUAUCACGUGUGGAAUAUCAAAUGAAAAUGAACCAGGAACUAUAUUAAUUGAUGAUAAUUAUUCGUUACUUGAAGAAUCGGAUGGUGAACGCCAUGAUAAUUUCAGGUGGCCGUCUGUUAUUCGAUUAAAUAUUAAGGAGCAACAUAAAAUACGGCAGUUUUUUAAGUUCACGCCCAAAAAACAUACAGAAUGUAGUCCCAGCAAAAAAUCUCUAGUUGGAAGAAUAUUAGAAAAAACUAAAAGUAAAAGAGAUUUGAGCUCUUUAUCAAAAACUGCACUCAAAGAAAAUAAUAACAAAAAAGCAGACAAAGCUGAUAAAGAUGAAAAAAGGAAUUUGAAAAGAGAAAAGAUAGACGCAAUUGGUAAUAAAGAUCUGAAACUCGAUAAAAAAGAUACAAAAGACGUUGACAAAUAUUUGAAAGAGGAUUAAAAAAGAUUAGAAAUUGGCUAAAAGAUAUACAGGAAAAUAAAAUCAUUUAAAAUUUAUAACUACAUUUGUAAUAAUAAAUCAAAAUCACUCAAAAUGUACAAUAUAUUCAGACUGAUAUUUAUUAUCAUAUUUAUGAUCGAAGUAGCCAUUUUAGUGGCAUUUUUGAAGCCGAUCAAAGAACCUUACUACAUCAGAGACUUGUGGUGUUAUUUUAAAAAUAUUGAUAUAUGCCCAUGCUCGAAUAUAGCACUGCUUUCGGUUAGUUUUAUCGUAAUGAAUACUUUGAUGGAUUUCUUAUACGAACAAAGUGACUAUGCAAGCAUUAUAAAUCAAGUUAAUGACAAGAAUCUAUACGCAAAAUUUUAUUAUAGCAAAGUAAUGAUGUCGUAUGUUGGAGGGAUAUUAGCUAUAUAUAUGUUGGUUGUAGUGGAGAGGUUGGGCCAAUUUAUGAUAACAAUAGCAAGAUUACUAGAAUUUGAGUUGAUGUGCAGACAUGCGAUUUUAACAAGUAACUAGAAGUCGACAUGAGAUUUUUCUGAUAUUUUAAUCAAUCUA
Molecule: long non-coding RNA, 1385 nt
Organism: Plodia interpunctella (Indianmeal moth)
Lineage: Eukaryota; Metazoa; Arthropoda; Insecta; Lepidoptera; Pyralidae
Exons: 2
Source: RefSeq, a predicted model, not a curated record